CGGAGUUGGAACAUGGUUCAUUCUCUUCAUUUUCUUAGGGUUGUAAGUUCAGAAAAAGCACCUUUUUCUCCAAAAUAGUCGUUUAAAUCAUCAAUCCAACCUUGCACUGAAGUGUUGCUUUGUGGACAAACCUUAGCAAACAUAGCUUUUAUGUACAUAUAAUCGUGGAUUUCAGUUUUGUGGAUUGCUUUUCCUAUAUCCACAUCAUCAAUUUUUUUUCUUAAAGUUUCCGCCAUAAUGUUACAUUGUUUACACUUUUUCUUCUUCAACACACCCAUCGUAUCCAUAAAAAUAUGUCCACGAUUAUUUAUCCAUAUGAAAGCGAAUAUAUGUUUAACCAUAAUUGGAUAUGUAUAAUAUAAUUACAUAUUAAAAACUAUUGGAUCUUAAAACAGAAAAAGUUAUAAUAUACUGUGGAAAAAAGUUGAGAUAUUCUUUGGAAUUUUUUUAACAUAAUUUGAUAUUUAAAGAAAAAGAAGAGGAAAUAGAAGUACGACAUCCACAUGGACAAUGCUUUGUGGAUGAGCUACCCCCGACGAUAGAAGUCGUUCUAUUUUCUUCUUUGUUUAGCUAUGUAUGAUUUGUUUUACACUCAUAAACAAGAGAUUUGAUUUAUGCUCCAACCACCAAUCAAAGCCAACCAACAAUAUAUAGUACUUGUGUGAAAUGCUAAGAGAUUAUAACGGGGCUUUGUAAAUGCAUGAUUACAGUUAGCAAACAAAUCUAUGUUUACAAAAUCCAAAAAGAUAAUUGUUCUCGUGUGAGAACAACACUCAUACGUAUAACGUGUUUAAUUUUAAAGUUCAAUGUGUACGGUUAGGUAUAAAAAUCAUGUAUAUUUUUGGUUUGGUAAUGUAACAAAAAAACUAUAUAUAUAACCACAAAUGACUAUCCAUUUAACAUCAACUAUAUGUUUAACCAUAAUUGGAUAUUGUAUAGCAUAAUUAUAUAUUUAAACUAUAUUAAAAUGGAUCUUAAAACGUAAAGAAAAAAUAAUUAUAAUAUAUUAUGUUAAAAGAAUUAGAUUUUAUAUGGAAACAAUUUAUAUAA
Molecule: long non-coding RNA, 1050 nt
Filed under: Capsella grandiflora
Lineage: Eukaryota; Viridiplantae; Streptophyta; Magnoliopsida; Brassicales; Brassicaceae
Description: long non-coding RNA (CGRA_LNC001715)
Source: RNAcentral